UAUGCGAUACUUGGUGUGAAUUGCAGAAUUCAGUGAAUCAUCGAAUCUUUGAACGCACCUUGCGCCCUUUGGUAUUCCGAGGGGCAUGCCUGUUUGAGUGUCAUUAAAUACCAUCAACCCUCUUUUGACUUCGGUCUCGAGAGUGGCUUGGAAGUGGAGGUCUGCUGGAGCCUAACGGAGCCAGCUCCUCUUAAAUGUAUUAGCGGAUUUCCCUUGCGGGAUCGCGUCUCCGAUGUGAUAAUUUCUACGUCGUUGACCAUCUCGGGGCUGACCUAGUCAGUUUCAAUAGGAGUCUGCUUCUAACCGUCUCUUGACUGAGACUAGCGACUUGUGCGCUAACUUUUGACUUGACCUCAAAUCAUGGUAUGAUGUACCCGCUGAACUUAAGCAUAUCAAAAGCGGAGGAA
Molecule: ribosomal RNA, 407 nt
Filed under: Schizophyllum sp. BAB-3678
Lineage: Eukaryota; Fungi; Basidiomycota; Agaricomycetes; Agaricales; Schizophyllaceae
Description: eukaryotic LSU rRNA
Rfam family: 5.8S ribosomal RNA (bases 1-103)
Source: RNAcentral